GAAGGCCUGAGGGUUGUAAAGCACUUUCAAUUGUGAAGAAAAGUUAAUAGUUAAUAACUAUUAGCCUUGACGUUAACUUUAGAAGAAGCACCGGCUAACUCCGUGCCAGCAGCCGCGGUAAUACGGAGGGUGCAAGCGUUAAUCGGAAUUACUGGGCGUAAAGCGUGCGUAGGUGGUUUGUUAAGUCAGAUGUGAAAGCCCCGGGCUCAACCUGGGAACUGCAUUUGAAACUGGCAAACUAGAGUAUAGGAGAGGAAAGUGGAAUUUCUGGUGUAGCGGUGAAAUGCGUAGAUAUCAGAAGGAACAUCAAUGGCGAAGGCAGCUUUCUGGACUAAUACUGACACUGAGGUACGAAAGCGUGGGUAGCAAACAGGAUUAGAUACCCUGGUAGUCCACGCCGUAAACGAUGAUAACUAGCCGUUGGGAGGAUUUACCUCUUAGUGGCGAAGCUNACGCGUUAAGUUAUCCGNCUGGGGAGUACGGCCGCAAGGCUAAAACUCAAAGGAAUUGACGGGGACCCGCACAAGCGGUGGAGCAUGUGGUUUAAUUCGAUGCAACGCGAAGAACCUUACCUGGUCUUGACAUACAGAGAACUUUCCAGANAUGGAUUGGUNCCUUCGGGAACUCUGAUACAGGUGCUGNAUGGCUGUCGUCAGCUCGUGUCGNGAGAUGUUGGGUUAAGUCCCGUAACGAGCGCAACCCUUAUCCUUAUUUGC
RNAcentral lists this ribosomal RNA (716 nucleotides) under uncultured Gammaproteobacteria bacterium. RNAcentral describes it as "bacterial SSU rRNA". It matches the Rfam family "Bacterial small subunit ribosomal RNA", at positions 410 to 1118 of the family's 1533-position model. The record is from RNAcentral. Lineage: Bacteria; Pseudomonadati; Pseudomonadota; Gammaproteobacteria.